UGGGGAAUAUUGCACAAUGGGCGAAAGCCUGAUGCAGCGACGCCGCGUGAGGGAUGACGGCCUUCGGGUUGUAAACCUCUUUCAGCAGGGACGAAGCGCAAGUGACGGUACCUGCAGAAGAAGCACCGGCUAACUACGUGCCAGCAGCCGCGGUAAUACGUAGGGUGCAAGUGUUGUCCGGAAUUACUGGGCGUAAAGAGUUCGUAGGCGGUUUGUCGCGUCGUUUGUGAAAACCAGCAGCUCAACUGCUGGCUUGCAGGCGAUACGGGCAGACUUGAGUACUGCAGGGGAGACUGGAAUUCCUGGUGUAGCGGUGAAAUGCGCAGAUAUCAGGAGGAACACCGGUGGCGAAGGCGGGUCUCUGGGCAGUAACUGACGCUGAGGAACGAAAGCGUGGGUAGCGAACAGG
Molecule: ribosomal RNA, 409 nt
Filed under: bacterium
Lineage: Bacteria
Description: partial 16S ribosomal RNA
Rfam family: Bacterial small subunit ribosomal RNA
Source: RNAcentral